This 69-nucleotide transfer RNA is filed under the name Garra orientalis. Its description in RNAcentral is "tRNA-Met". It matches the Rfam family "tRNA". From Rfam's summary of the family: Transfer RNA (tRNA) molecules are approximately 80 nucleotides in length. Their secondary structure includes four short double-helical elements and three loops (D, anti-codon, and T loops). Lineage: Eukaryota; Metazoa; Chordata; Actinopteri; Cypriniformes; Cyprinidae. The record is from RNAcentral.
GGUGGGGUCAGCUAACAAAGCUUUCGGGCCCAUACCCCGAAAAUGAAGGUUAGACCCCUUCCCCCGCCA